AUUGAACGUUGGCGGCAUGCUUUACACAUGCAAGUCGGACGGUAACAGGUUAAGCUGACGAGUGGCGAACGGGUGAGUAAUGCAUCGGAACGUGCCCGGUCGUGGGGGAUAACGCAGCGAAAGCUGCGCUAAUACCGCAUACGAUCUAAGGAUGAAAGCGGGGGACCGUAAGGCCUCGCGCGAUCGGAGCGGCCGAUGUCAGAUUAGGUAGUGGGUGGGGUAAAGGCGCACCAAGCCAACGAUCUGUAGCUGGUCUGAGAGGGCGACCAGCCACACUGGGACUGAGACACGGCCCAGACUCCUACGGGAGGCAGCAGUGGGGAAUUUUGGACAAUGGGCGAAAGCCUGAUCCAGCAAUGCCGCGUGCAGGAAGAAGGCCUUCGGGUUGUAAACUGCUUUUGUACGGAGCGAAAAGGUCUCCUCUAAUACAGGGGGCUCAUGACGGUACCGUAAGAAUAAGCACCGGCUAACUACGUGCCAGCCGCCGCCGUAC
RNAcentral lists this ribosomal RNA (493 nucleotides) under uncultured bacterium. RNAcentral's name for it is "partial 16S ribosomal RNA". It matches the Rfam family "Bacterial small subunit ribosomal RNA", at positions 29 to 523 of the family's 1533-position model. The record is from RNAcentral.